This 490-nucleotide ribosomal RNA is filed under the name uncultured bacterium. RNAcentral's name for it is "partial 16S ribosomal RNA". It matches the Rfam family "Bacterial small subunit ribosomal RNA", at positions 29 to 506 of the family's 1533-position model. The record is from RNAcentral.
GUGAACGCUGGCGGUAGGCCUAACACAUGCCAGUCGAACGGCAGCACAGUAAGAGCUUGCUCUUACGGGUGGCGAGUGGCGGACGGGUGAGGAAUACAUCGGAAUCUACUUUUUCGUGGGGGAUAACGUAGGGAAACUUACGCUAAUACCGCAUACGACCUACGGGUGAAAGCAGGGGAUCUUCGGACCUUGCGCGAUUGAAUGAGCCGAUGUCGGAUUAGCUAGUUGGCGGGGUAAAGGCCCACCAAGGCGACGAUCCGUAGCUGGUCUGAGAGGAUGAUCAGCCACGCUGGACCUGAGACACGGUCCAGACUCCUACGGGAGGCAGCAGUGGGGAAUAUUGGACAAUGGGCGCAAGCCUGAUCCAGCCAUACCGCGUGGGUGAAGAAGGCCUUCGGGUUGUAAAGCCCUUUUGUUGGGAAAGAAAAGCAGCAGGUUAAUACCCCGCUGUUCUGACGGUACCCAAAGAAUAAGCACCGGCUAACUUCGU